Long non-coding RNA from Mesocricetus auratus (golden hamster), 508 nucleotides. RefSeq lists it as uncharacterized. The transcript has 2 exons. NCBI's taxonomy places the organism in Eukaryota, Metazoa, Chordata, Mammalia, Rodentia, Cricetidae. The record is from RefSeq and is a predicted model, not a curated record.
AGAGGGCAAAAGAUGACAAGCUGCCCGCUGCGAACUGUUGCCCUGACAACCCUGACACAGGCUAAUCCAGGAAGGCAGGGAGCAGCUCCUUCUCCAGCGGCCCUAGGAUGCAGUGUCCUCGGAACUCAGCGGCAGAGGUCAACCAGUACCACAUCUCUGAGACCCUCCUGAAGACCAGAAAUCGGAGACUGUACCUCUUCCCACUAAAAGCCACAGCAUGGAACAUCCCCUUGGCAGGUCAAGUCUAAAGGGCAGAAACAAAGCCAGCAAGGAGGGGGUCCCAGGUGCCUCAAUUACAUUGCACCCCAGCACAUCCCUACCCCAGUGUCCAGCAGCACUGCUGAGCAGAUCUCAACUCUAGUUCUUUUGGACUAUUCUCUCAAAAGCACACAGCAGCACAACUUGUUUUCUUCUGAAAUAAGUUUUCUCUUUUUGAGACUCUCCGUUGUUAGGUUGCUUAAAAUUUUUACUGCAUAAAAAAAACUAAUAAAUAAUUUUUUACAACAAA